GAUGAACGCUGGCGGCGUGCCUAAUACAUGCAAGUCGAGCGAACAGAUGAGGAGCUUGCUCCUCUGACGUUAGCGGCGGACGGGUGAGUAACACGUGGAUAACCUACCUAUAAGACUGGGAUAACUUCGGGAAACCGGAGCUAAUACCGGAUAAUAUAUUGAACCGCAUGGUUCAAUAGUGAAAGACGGUUUUGCUGUCACUUAUAGAUGGAUCCGCGCCGCAUUAGCUAGUUGGUAAGGUAACGGCUUACCAAGGCAACGAUGCGUAGCCGACCUGAGAGGGGGAUCGGCGACACUGGAGCUGGGACGCGGUCCAGACUACUGCGGGAGGCCGCAGUAGGGAAUCUGCCGCAGUGGGCGAAAGCCUGACGGAGCAACGCGGCGUGAGUGAUGAAAGUCUUCGGAUCGUAAAACUCGGUUAUGAGGGAAGAACAAAUGUGUAAGUAACUAUGCACGUCUUGACGGUACCUGAUCAGAAAGCCACGGCUAACUACGUG
Molecule: ribosomal RNA, 497 nt
Filed under: uncultured bacterium
Lineage: Bacteria
Description: partial 16S ribosomal RNA
Rfam family: Bacterial small subunit ribosomal RNA
Source: RNAcentral